CCUGUAUUUUCAUAGAAGAUUGCUGUUCAUCAGAAAAUGAUGGAUAAUGAAAACAGCCAACAUUUAACAGUAAUAUAAAUUAUAAGCAGGACAAUAAAAAAGAGAAACAGAGAUAUGAUUUCAUAUUGUCUCUUAUCCCGAUUUUUGUGAUAAAUUGCUGAAUCUCUAGAAUGUGAUUAGCAUGUUGGAAAAUAACGCACUCAGCUGUGUUGAUGUUACUCUAUUCAUGCGGAUAAGUUACCUGGCCACUUCCAGCCCUUGAUACUUACUCGUAAGGCAGAAACAGAAGAAAACAUAGGCGAUUGUUAAUGGAGUAGGCAGAGAAGGGGGUGUGGGGAGAACAAGAUGGAAGAAGUUAAGUUGGACUGUAAAUCCAAACACUUGAGGGUGUUGAUAGCUUGCCUUCGAACAGCCCAACCUCGAAUUAGAGCUUGAAGCUUGACGACUCCUUUCAGUGCUCGUAGUGCUUUCCUUGCCUGGAACCCCCAGAGGGAGAAGAACAUGUUAUACUCUGAAUUAAACUGUUACAUAGAAAUUAACAACUCCAAUCUUUUCAUCUAUUCAUUUUACUUGGCUGUUUCAGUUUGGUAUGAUACUUCAUAAAAUGCUAAUAACAUCGAUGUUUUUUUUAACUCCUAUUAUUAGUUCUGAUAAAUGUGCCACGUUCACAGCACCUGCUGAGUUGAAUUGCCAUCCAAAUAGAGCAUCUUAAAUAAACUCACUAAAUAACCGCGAAAUGCAGCUUGAACUUUGAUUGCAGCUGAAGCUUCUGAUGCGAUGUUGUGCUGAUGAGGAAUUUUCACAACACUGGCGCUAUUGUGGCUUUUUGAAGAUUCUGGAUAGGCUGUUUCCCCAUUGCUGGGGAUCUGCCGAAGCUCAGAAGUGUCUGUUGCAACGGUUACUGGAACAGAAGUAGUACUCGGUUCUGGGAGUUGCCAUGGCAGCCUUUCUCUCGGAGAGGAUGGCCCUAGUUCUUUCAUCUUAAGCAAUCGGCAGGCCCAUCUCCUGCGCUUAUCCUUGUUGCAGCACACAUGAGAUCAAAGCAGUUCAGUUUUAUCAGGUGGUCGGGUUUGAUGUUCGUGCAAGAUAAAACGAGGUUCUUGAGAUUCGAGUCUUCACAGAUGUUGAAGAGGAAGCCAUAUCAAGUGGCCUUCUUCCCCCAAUAGUGGAGAGACCAUCAAAUGAAGGGGAAAUCCAAGUGCAAAAAUACAUUAUUGGUGGAGGUGGGGAAAUCCCUAAUGUGCAAAAGAAAGCAUGUCUUUGAAGGAGAUAGACAGCUGUUGAGGGCCCUAUUUCUGCUCUAUAGUAUUCAUAUGCAAUAAUUUAUACUACUACUAUAAGUUAAUUGCAUGAAGUUGAGAUUUUUAAUAAUUAUUAAACUGGAUCACAUUUCUUUGC
Molecule: non-coding RNA, 1398 nt
Organism: Salvia hispanica
Lineage: Eukaryota; Viridiplantae; Streptophyta; Magnoliopsida; Lamiales; Lamiaceae
Source: RefSeq, a predicted model, not a curated record